This 1606-nucleotide long non-coding RNA is filed under the name Mytilus galloprovincialis (Mediterranean mussel). Lineage: Eukaryota; Metazoa; Mollusca; Bivalvia; Mytilida; Mytilidae. The record is from RNAcentral.
AAGGUUACAAAUACGUUGGCCUACAAGUAAGUUUAGAUAUAUACUUAACAAAAAUAGCAUGACCAAUAUACAUGUAUAGUUAUUUGCAGUAUUCAAGUUUGGUAAUACUUUUUGUCAUAUUGAUGUAGCGAGCUUGUCUAGCAUGGUCGUUGGUUUGGUCCCAUGUCAAACUUAUGAUUCGAAAAGUGUGUAUGUAUUUAUUCUCCUAUUAUCUGGGACCAAUAUGUCGAGUAAACACUAGUCGGCUCGUAGUAGGAAGAUUAUGUCCGAUUACGUUUCUUUUUGUGAAAUAGAAAUUUUUAAUCCGUAUAAGCGUGUUAGUCUAGUACAAAGAAUGUAUGUUUCUUAAACAUCAAUUCAUCUGCCAAUUCAUCUGACAAUUUAUUUAAUAUAUGUUUAAUAGUAUUUGGACUUUUAUUGCAUUUAUUGUGCAUGCACACCAAAUUACACACAUAAUUAGCUAUCCACAGAUAGUUUAUAUUUCCAAUAUGUAUUUGAUCUUUCAAGGUUCUAUCGGGACGCUUCAAGUUUGUUAAUACUUUUACGCACAGCUUGAUUUUUACAUGUCUUUAAGUUGGAAACAUAGGAAAUAAUAAAAAAAAAAGCAAAAAAAAAAAAAAAAAAAAAAAAAGCAGAAUAAGAUAGAUUCGACGACUUAUAAUAUUUUCAAAACGUUAAAAUAUAUAAAUAUGUUAAACAGUAUAGAGUACAGUGCUUUUGUGGAAAACGACUGGAAAAGACAAGAUAUAAACAAUAACCAGAAUCUGAUUGCAACAUGAGAUGUCCAGGAGAACUGAGUAGGAUAUGUGGAAGUGCUAAUAGAAAUUCUGUGUAUUUAGGUAUGAACCAAAUUUAGACAUAUUCUAAAUAAGAUAGAAUUUGGAGUGGUACAAAAAUGAAAUAUUAACAUAAUGAGAAACAUACCUAAACAAUGAAUAAAGAAGCACAAAAAGUCUCAGAAAUUAUCAGUACUAAUAGCCACUUGUAAAGCUUUUUAUAGCAAAAACUUAAAACCUGUGAAAAACUUACUAGACUCUAUUUACAAUAUAUUAUCAAUAGAUGAACUCUUUAGACAGUAAAAAAACAAUAAUUAUAAAUAAAACAACCAUUAAACCCACCUCUGGGUGAUAGAUUAUUUUACUCCGUGUUGAAUGCGUGACCUUGGGCUGUUUUCUGCUCUUUGAUCGAGUUAUUGUCUUUUUGAUACAUUCCUUGUUCUAUUCUGAAUAUCAAGUACAAUGUACAGUUAACAUGUUAGCAUCAUCUAAGUAAAUUUUAAGAUUAAAACAUAUUUAUUUUUAACUGAUAGGCAUCAUAAAUCGGCGUAUUCAAAUCAUUGGAAUCUGAUUAAUCACACGGGACUAUAUCACUUCAGUAUUUAAGGGCAUUCUAAGCAAUGAUUGGAGUCAAACCUUUGAAAAAAAAUCUUACAUUGUGUACCUAAUAUUUAAUACUAAAUCCAAUUUUGUAUGUUAAAAUUCCAUGAUUUAUCAUGCUUACAUUGUUUAACAUUUAUAACCGUUACGUUAUUUUGAUACAUUUUCUAUAUUUCAGUUCAACAAUAGAGAAGCAAGAACGCAAAAGAUCAGACGUUAUAACCAACCGC